Molecule: ribosomal RNA, 973 nt
Filed under: uncultured prokaryote
Description: bacterial SSU rRNA
Rfam family: Bacterial small subunit ribosomal RNA
Source: RNAcentral
GGGCUAAUUACGUGCCAGCAGCCAGCGGUAAUACGUAGGUGGCAAGCGUAGUCCGAAAUUAUUGGGCGUAAAGGGCUCGGAGGCUGUUUUCUUUAAGUCUGAUGUGAAAGCCCCCCGGCUCAACCGGGGAGGGUCAUUGGAAACUGGGAAACUUGAGUGCAAGAAGAGGAGAGUGGAAUUCCACGUGUAGCGGUGAAAUGCGUAGAGAUGUGGAGGAACACCAGUGGCGAAGGCGACUCUCUGGUCUGUAACUGACGCUGAGGAGCGAAAAGCGUGGGGAGCGAACAGGAUUAGAUACCCUUGGUAGUCCACGCCGUAAACGAUGAGUGCUAAGUGUUAGGGGGUUUCCGCCCCUUAGUGCUGCAGCUAACGCAUUAAGCACUCCGCCUGGGGAGUACGGUCGCAAGACUGAAACUCAAAGGAAUUGACGGGGGCCCGCACAAGCGGUGGAGCAUGUGGUUUAAUUAGAAGCAACGCGAAGAACCUUACCAGGUCUUGACAUCCUCUGACAACCCUAGAGAUAGGGCUUUCCCUUCGGGGACAGAGUGACAGGUGGUGCAUGGUUGUCGUCAGCUCGUGUCGUGAGAUGUUGGGUUAAGUCCCGCAACGAGCGCAUCCCUUGAUCUUAGUUGCCAGCAUUAAGUUGGGCACUCUAAGGUGACUGCCGGUGACAACCCGGAGGAAGGUGGGGAUGACGUCAAAUCAUCAUGCCCCUUAUGACCUGGGCUACACACGUGCUACAAUGGACAGAACAAAGGGCUGCGAGACCGCCAGGUUUAGCCAAUCCCACAAAUCUGUUCUCAGUUCGGAUCGCAGUCGGCAACUCGACUGCGUGAAGCAGGAAUCGUUAGUAAUCGCGGAUAAGCAGGCCACCAGGAAUACAUUCGCGGACGUUGUUUACACCGCCAGACACUCCGUGAGAGUUGCAACACCCGAAGGACACAAUAAUGUAACGCGCCCCCGAUAGGUCUUG